Molecule: unclassified non-coding RNA, 214 nt
Filed under: Melitaea cinxia (Glanville fritillary)
Lineage: Eukaryota; Metazoa; Arthropoda; Insecta; Lepidoptera; Nymphalidae
Description: misc RNA ENSMCXG00005021371.1
Source: RNAcentral
UUUCCUUGUUGGUUUUUCAAUAUAUUUACACUUUUCCAUCAUACCUACAGUAUACGUACUAGUUAGCACGAUUCUGCAAGAUACUGUAAUGAUAAGUACCAUUUAGAUAGUACUAGUCACCUGAAUGGCUAGUAGAAUAGUAAAUAUAGUACAUGAUAUUUGUUGAAUACGAACUAAUCGUAAAUAGAAGUUUUAAUCUCAUUCAGCGUUCUGA